Molecule: ribosomal RNA, 324 nt
Filed under: uncultured eukaryote
Lineage: Eukaryota
Description: partial 18S ribosomal RNA
Rfam family: Eukaryotic small subunit ribosomal RNA
Source: RNAcentral
CCCUUAGAUGUUCUGGGCAGCACGCGCGCUACAAUGGUCUUCGCAAACGGAUGCAUUCUCGAAGGAGAAUGCCAAUCUUGGAAUCUAUGCCUUGGUCGGGACAGUUGCUUGCAAUUUUUCGACUCGAACCAGGAAUUCCUUGUAAUCGUGAUUCAUCACAUCACGAUGAAUACGUCCCUGCCCUUUGUACACACCGCCCGUCGCUACUACCGAUUGAAUCAUUUGGUGAGGUCCGCGGACUGUUGUGCUUCCUUCCUCGUGUUGGUUGCGCUUCUUGGGAAGCGGCACGAACCUGAUGAUUUAGAGGAAGUAAAAGUCGUAACA